UCUGUGCCACAGUUUUAAUUACAGAGGCUUUAUAAUAUAUUUUAAUGUCUGGCAGGGAUAGUCCUCUUUUGCAUAUUAUUCUAUUUAGGUUUUUGGGUUUUGUUCUUUAUUCCUGCAUGCUUAUUUUUCCAUAUGAAGUGCAAUACCACGUUUAGUUUCAUUAACUAUGUUUAGUAUUAAUUUUGGAGAUUCUUUACAUUUAUAAAAUACAAAAACUGAUGAAUUAAUUUAGUGUGAACUGACAUCUGACUUUGAGUAUCCUAUCUCAAAACAAGAUUUAAAGUUGCCUGUGAGUUACCACGCACUUUGAUGUGAUGUUGAGGAACAAUAUGUACGGAUUAGUGCAUUUGCUCAACAAAUGUGGAUUCAGCUCUUGCAACAUCUCAAGUAUGCUUCUAUGCAUUGGGGAACCACAGUGAAUGGACAGAGAAGAUGCCUGCACUUAUGGAACUCCCAGCCUAGCUCACAGCUAAACGUCCUUGAGGUCUAUCCAAGUUGCUGGUGGAUUAAUAGUUAUUCCUCUUGAAUUGCUGAGCAGAAUCCCAGAAGACAAAAGAAACGUGUCUGUGAUCGCACCCAGCAGAACAACCGAGGACCUACUCCCUCACCCUCUGCGCUAUCUCAAAUCUCUACAUACAACAAUAGCAAAACAGACUGCAAAUAUGACCCACUGCUUUUACAAUGUUAAAAUCAACUGAAACGAUAUUCUGACAACAGCUUUUCUCACAGAUUACUAGACAUCUCUGCCAAAGGAAAUUAAAACAUGCCUCCAGAAAAAAAUCAGGACUAAUUCUGAUCUUCUUGAAAGAAACUAUUAUAUAUUAAUAGAGUCAUAUCAUGGGCACAUGGAUAAGUAAUUAUCAUAAUUUUGAGAAAUAUAAAGCCUCUUUUAAAAAAGGUGCACAAAUGAUGUUGGCUUAUCUGACAUAGGAGUCAAUGUGAUGGACUUACAUAAACAGAAGAAAAUCAGUAGUGAUUACCCAGAAGAAAAUAGAAUAUGAUCAUCUUGGGAUUUUCAACAUUUGUCCUGCAUGCUUAUUCCAUCUCAUAUUUUUAUGAUUGAUCCAAGUAAAGAAUGAGUCACUCCAUAGGGGGGCUGAGAACAUGCCAGGUCGAAGAUUUUCCUGUGACAUUAAACAAUAGCUUAGAAAAAGCAAAUAGAAUCUACUACAAAAUUAUAAAGCAGCUAGAGUUUGCAUGGUUCUUUUCCCACUCGCUGAGUGACUCUUUUCACCACUUUGUGGUCCCCCAGCUCCUGGGUGCAGGCAUUCAUCUUGUUUUCAACUAGCUGAAACCUAAAUGAUUUUAAGUUUCACAAGCUAGCAGCCCUUCUAGGAGAAUUUGAUUUUUCACUGGGAAUUCUGGAUGGUUUCAAGAUGAAAAGUUACAUUUUACUGAUCAAAUUCUAGAGAAAAGUGAUGGGGGGAGGUGAUGGGAGAUUUGAAUCAUCCUACAUGGGGCAGCUCUGGAAGGGUCAGUGCACACACACACACACGCACACACAUACACACACACUAUCACACCAAUUGAGUGCUCUGUCUCUAUUGAAAAGACACAUUUUCCCCAGCUACGUGUUUUCAGAUUGAAUACCUUGGAGCCAAGGGGUUCCUCUAGGCCUACCCCUACAGUACAGAGAAAACUGAGUGGGCAAACUUCUGCUCCUCCUCGCUUGCCUUCAAACAGAACUUCUCUUCCUUUAUUGGUUUGAUUUAUCAAAGUUCUGUGGAAUAGUUCUCAAAUGUGUACACUUCCCACAGUUUCCUUCUAAGUUUGCUCUUUCCUCCCUCAUACUUUUCAAACCCCCUCACUCCCUCACUCCCUCACUUUUAGCCAAUGACUCUAAGUUUCUCUUUACUGAGAAAACAGAAUCUAUGAGGCUUUAACUCCCUCUUCAAAUAACAUCUCCAAAACACAGAAUGUCAUGGGCUCCACCCACCUUCUCCUUCUCCUUUCCUAACAAAGGCCAUUCCCUCGCAUGCUUCUGAAUCCCACUCUUUGGCUUUGCAAGGUCUUUGAAUUUCUGUUCAUCCUCUCUCUUUCUGAUCUAGUAUCUCCAAUCAUUAAAAAAAAUUCCUCUUAACCUCACAACCUUCUCCAGCUAUUGCCCAAUAUCUCAAUUCCUUUUCAGAGAAAAAAGUCUUUAAAGACUUGCUUACAUGUGCUGCCUGCCUUAUCAUUCCACAUUCAUUCUUCACCUCACUCUACUCUUGCUUCAGCCUCCGCCACUCCACCAACUUCUCU
Molecule: long non-coding RNA, 2241 nt
Filed under: Homo sapiens (human)
Lineage: Eukaryota; Metazoa; Chordata; Mammalia; Primates; Hominidae
Description: HSALNT0364636
Source: RNAcentral